GAUAUCUGCUACUGCAGUGGUGUUUACAACUAAUUGAUCACAAUCAGUUACAGAUUCCUUUGUUCCUUCUUCACUUCCACUGCUUCACUUGACUAGCCUUAA
Molecule: unclassified non-coding RNA, 102 nt
Organism: Microcebus murinus (gray mouse lemur)
Lineage: Eukaryota; Metazoa; Chordata; Mammalia; Primates; Cheirogaleidae
Rfam family: Y RNA
About the family: Y RNAs are components of the Ro ribonucleoprotein particle (Ro RNP), in association with Ro60 and La proteins. The Y RNAs and Ro60 and La proteins are well conserved, but the function of the Ro RNP is not known. In humans the RNA component can be one of four small RNAs -- hY1, hY3, hY4 and hY5.
Source: Ensembl